AACAUCGCGCACCUGCGGGAACCUGCGGAGGGAUCAUUACAGAGUUGCAAAACUCCCUAAACCAUUGUGAACGUUACCUAAACCGUUGCCUCGGCGGGCGGCCCGGGUCCUUCCCGGCGCCCAUCGGCCCUCGCGGGCGCCCGCCGGAGGUAAACCAAACUAUUGCAUUGUAUGGCCUCUCUGAGUCUUCUGUACUGAAUAAGUCAAAACUUUUAACAACGGAUCUCAGAUCGGAAGAGC
This 240-nucleotide unclassified non-coding RNA is filed under the name soil metagenome. Its description in RNAcentral is "partial contains 5.8S ribosomal RNA, internal transcribed spacer 2, and large subunit ribosomal RNA". The record is from RNAcentral.